CAAUAGCGUAUAUUAAAGUUGUUGCAGUUAAAAAGCUCGUAGUUGGACUUCUGAUGUGGAGGGACGGUCCGCCUCACGGUGAGCACUGAUUCUUCACGUCUUCCUCUCGUAGUCUUUUGGCGCACUUAGUUGGGUGCCUUUAGAAUAUGGGACCUUUACUUUGAAAAAUUAGAGUGUUCAAAGCAGGCAAUCGCUUGAAUACAUUAGCAUGGAAUAAUAGAAUAGGACUUCGGUUCUAUUUUGUUGGUUUCUAGAUCUGAAGUAAUGAUUGAUAGGGAUAGUUGGGGGUGCUAGUAUUAAGGGGCCAGAGGUGAAAUUCUUGGAUUCUCUUAAGACUAACUUAUGCGAAAGCAUUCACCAAGGAUGUCUUCUUUAAUCAAGAACGAAAGUUGGGGGAUCGAAGACGAUCAGAUACCAU
This 418-nucleotide ribosomal RNA is filed under the name uncultured eukaryote. RNAcentral's name for it is "bacterial SSU rRNA". It matches the Rfam family "Eukaryotic small subunit ribosomal RNA", at positions 592 to 1018 of the family's 1831-position model. The record is from RNAcentral.